RNAcentral lists this ribosomal RNA (1528 nucleotides) under Enterobacter cloacae. Its description in RNAcentral is "bacterial SSU rRNA". It matches the Rfam family "Bacterial small subunit ribosomal RNA". The record is from RNAcentral. RNAcentral also lists the same sequence under 4 other names. Lineage: Bacteria; Pseudomonadati; Pseudomonadota; Gammaproteobacteria; Enterobacterales; Enterobacteriaceae.
AGAGUUUGAUCAUGGCUCAGAUUGAACGCUGGCGGCAGGCCUAACACAUGCAAGUCGAACGGUAGCACAGAGAGCUUGCUCUCGGGUGACGAGUGGCGGACGGGUGAGUAAUGUCUGGGAAACUGCCUGAUGGAGGGGGAUAACUACUGGAAACGGUAGCUAAUACCGCAUAACGUCGCAAGACCAAAGAGGGGGACCUUCGGGCCUCUUGCCAUCAGAUGUGCCCAGAUGGGAUUAGCUAGUAGGUGGGGUAACGGCUCACCUAGGCGACGAUCCCUAGCUGGUCUGAGAGGAUGACCAGCCACACUGGAACUGAGACACGGUCCAGACUCCUACGGGAGGCAGCAGUGGGGAAUAUUGCACAAUGGGCGCAAGCCUGAUGCAGCCAUGCCGCGUGUAUGAAGAAGGCCUUCGGGUUGUAAAGUACUUUCAGCGGGGAGGAAGGUGUUGUGGUUAAUAACCGCAGCAAUUGACGUUACCCGCAGAAGAAGCACCGGCUAACUCCGUGCCAGCAGCCGCGGUAAUACGGAGGGUGCAAGCGUUAAUCGGAAUUACUGGGCGUAAAGCGCACGCAGGCGGUCUGUCAAGUCGGAUGUGAAAUCCCCGGGCUCAACCUGGGAACUGCAUUCGAAACUGGCAGGCUAGAGUCUUGUAGAGGGGGGUAGAAUUCCAGGUGUAGCGGUGAAAUGCGUAGAGAUCUGGAGGAAUACCGGUGGCGAAGGCGGCCCCCUGGACAAAGACUGACGCUCAGGUGCGAAAGCGUGGGGAGCAAACAGGAUUAGAUACCCUGGUAGUCCACGCCGUAAACGAUGUCGACUUGGAGGUUGUGCCCUUGAGGCGUGGCUUCCGGAGCUAACGCGUUAAGUCGACCGCCUGGGGAGUACGGCCGCAAGGUUAAAACUCAAAUGAAUUGACGGGGGCCCGCACAAGCGGUGGAGCAUGUGGUUUAAUUCGAUGCAACGCGAAGAACCUUACCUACUCUUGACAUCCAGAGAACUUUCCAGAGAUGGAUUGGUGCCUUCGGGAACUCUGAGACAGGUGCUGCAUGGCUGUCGUCAGCUCGUGUUGUGAAAUGUUGGGUUAAGUCCCGCAACGAGCGCAACCCUUAUCCUUUGUUGCCAGCGGUCCGGCCGGGAACUCAAAGGAGACUGCCAGUGAUAAACUGGAGGAAGGUGGGGAUGACGUCAAGUCAUCAUGGCCCUUACGAGUAGGGCUACACACGUGCUACAAUGGCGCAUACAAAGAGAAGCGAACUCGCGAGAGCAAGCGGACCUCAUAAAGUGCGUCGUAGUCCGGAUUGGAGUCUGCAACUCGACUCCAUGAAGUCGGAAUCGCUAGUAAUCGUAGAUCAGAAUGCUACGGUGAAUACGUUCCCGGGCCUUGUACACACCGCCCGUCACACCAUGGGAGUGGGUUGCAAAAGAAGUAGGUAGCUUAACCUUCGGGAGGGCGCUUACCACUUUGUGAUUCAUGACUGGGGUGAAGUCGUAACAAGGUAACCGUAGGGGAACCUGCGGUUGGAUCACCU